Molecule: ribosomal RNA, 648 nt
Filed under: uncultured bacterium
Lineage: Bacteria
Description: partial 16S ribosomal RNA
Source: RNAcentral
UUCCAGUUUCCAAUGACCCUCCACGGUUGAGCCGUGGGCUUUCACAUCAGACUUAAAAAACCGCCUACGCGCGCUUUACGCCCAAUAAUUCCGGAUAACGCUUGCCACCUACGUAUUACCGCGGCUGCUGGCACGUAGUUAGCCGUGGCUUUCUGAUUAGGUACCGUCAAGAUGUGCACAGUUACUUACACAUAUGUUCUUCCCUAAUAACAGAGUUUUACGAUCCGAAGACCUUCAUCACUCACGCGGCGUUGCUCCGUCAGGCUUUCGCCCAUUGCGGAAGAUUCCCUACUGCUGCCUCCCGUAGGAGUCUGGACCGUGUCUCAGUUCCAGUGUGGCCGAUCACCCUCUCAGGUCGGCUAUGCAUCGUUGCCUUGGUAAGCCGUUACCUUACCAACUAGCUAAUGCAGCGCGGAUCCAUCUAUAAGUGACAGCAAGACCGUCUUUCACUUUUGAACCAUGCGGUUCAAAAUAUUAUCCGGUAUUAGCUCCGGUUUCCCGAAGUUAUCCCAGUCUUAUAGGUAGGUUAUCCACGUGUUACUCACCCGUCCGCCGCUAACAUCAGAGAAGCAAGCUUCUCGUCCGUUCGCUCGACUUGCAUGUAUUAGGCACGCCGCCAGCGUUCAUCCUGAGCCAGGAUCAAACUCA